CCUGAACGCUGGCGGCGUGGCUAAGACAUGCAAGUCGCACGGGGCCCGCAAGGGUCCAGUGGCGGACGGGUGAGUAAUGAAUCGCUAAUGUACCCCGAAGUCUGGGAGUAGCCGGUCGAAAGGGCCGGGUAUACCAGAUGAGACCACGAGAGGGCAUCCUCUAGUGCUCAAAGGGUCACCGCUUUGGGCGCAGGCGAUUUCGUAUCAGCUAGUUGGUGAGGUAACGGCNCACCAAGGCGACGACGCGUAGCCGGGCUGAGAGGUCGGCCGGCCACAUUGGGACUGAGACACUG
Molecule: ribosomal RNA, 293 nt
Filed under: uncultured bacterium
Lineage: Bacteria
Description: partial 16S ribosomal RNA
Rfam family: Bacterial small subunit ribosomal RNA
Source: RNAcentral